RNAcentral lists this ribosomal RNA (301 nucleotides) under uncultured bacterium. RNAcentral's name for it is "partial 16S ribosomal RNA". It matches the Rfam family "Bacterial small subunit ribosomal RNA", at positions 509 to 807 of the family's 1533-position model. The record is from RNAcentral.
CAGUAGCCGCGGUAAUACGUAGGUGGCAAGCGUUGUCCGGAAUUAUUGGGCGUAAAGGGCUCGCAGGCGGUUUCUUAAGUCUGAUGUGAAAGCCCCCGGCUCAACCGGGGAGGGUCAUUGGAAACUGGGAAACUUGAGUGCAGAAGAGGAGAGUGGAAUUCCACGUGUAGCAGUGAAACGCGUAGAGAUGUGGAGGAACACCAGUGGCGAAGGCGACUCUCUGGUCUGUAACUGACGCUGAGGAGCGAAAGCGUGGGGAGCGAACAGGAUUAGAUACCCGGGUAGUCCCUGUCUCUUAUAC